AUGUUGAGCAAUGGCGGACAAACUGUUUCUGUUAAGCUGUUCAUCGACAAGGAGAAGAAGAGGGUUCUCUUUGCAGAAUCUGACAAGGAUUUCGUUGACAUCCUCUUCAGUUUCCUUACUCUGCCUCUCGGCGCCAUCGCUCGUCUCUUCAAGAAGCAAUCGCAGAUGGGAUGCCUUGAUGAGCUUUACAAGAGCGUGGAUGCUCUGGGGGCAGAGCACUUCCAGACCACGGUUUGCAAAACAAUGCUUCUUAGUCCUGUUAAUGCUGCCGCGUUUCAUUGCGAUCGACUUAAAGUCAAAGUCGACGAUGCCAAUAGAAGAGUAUUUUACGUAAGCACAAGCAAAAACUGUAUGAACUUCAGCCCAGUCGCUGGUGGUUGUUGCAGUUGUGGCAACUGGUCAUGCCAAAGCUUCUGGGAAUGUCCACAGGACGUUCUUGUAACUGUUGAAGGCAAUGGUGACGGGUUAUUCGUGAAAGGUGGACUGAAGUACAUUGUCACGGAUGAUCUCCAAGUGAGUCCAGCCUCUACAAGUCUUGUGUUUUCCCUGUUCGAUAGGUUUGGGCUCCAAGAGCAAGCCAAGAUUGAGGAGACAAUUCUUCAUCUCAAUGCCAACAAGAUCACGAGCCUGCUUAAGAGAGCACUGAUGUCCAAGCAAGCUUUGACUUGGCUAUGUUUUGAAGUUUCUGCGGCCUCACCAGGUGCUGUAAAUAUAGAUAAGCAGCUCGGUAAGAAACAAGCUAAUGAGACACCGUCUAUGUUCACUGCAAUCAAGAUUAAACUGGUGCAUACAAAGGAUGAAUCCUGCGUGCUGUAUGCCGAAGUUGGAGAAGACUUUGUUGAUAUGAUCUUUGGCCUCCUUUGCUUUCCACUGGGUUCUGUCACCAAGACUUUUGGUCAAAUGCCUCCUAAUGGGUGUAUUAGUACUCUGUAUGCGAGUGUCGAUGGGAGCGCAAGGGGUUGCGUGAAACAUGAGUGCCGACACAUGCUCGUUAGCCCUCAGUUGGCACCCUUCUUCGGUUGCAGCAAAAACAUACUGCAAGCAGAUGAGCUACCACCAAGAAGCCUGGCUUUCGGCUGCUUGAGGUGCCUUCGUAUCACAGCCACUACUGAAAAACCAUGCAACUGCAUAUUGCAGCCGCACCUCGCACGUAAGCCAACAUACGGAACUAUCAACGAGAUUAACCCAAAGUCAGAAUACCCAAGAGCAUAUAUCAAAGGAGGCCCAAGAAACUUCCUUGUGACCAACGAUCUGCGUGUCAUUCAUUUCUCCUUGACAAACACUCUACAAAUCUUGCGUGAAGCCAGGAUUCCCAAGGAGAAGCUUGUGGAGAAAGAAAUAGCACUCAACAAAACCCAGGUCCUGAAAUUAGUGAGAGUUGCACUGGUCACUCGCGAUGCUCUUGGGAGCGUGCUCUUACCUUCCAAGGAGUAG
RNAcentral lists this ribosomal RNA (1434 nucleotides) under Triticum aestivum (bread wheat). RNAcentral describes it as "partial small subunit ribosomal RNA". The record is from RNAcentral. Lineage: Eukaryota; Viridiplantae; Streptophyta; Magnoliopsida; Poales; Poaceae.